RNAcentral lists this ribosomal RNA (465 nucleotides) under uncultured Klebsiella sp. RNAcentral's name for it is "bacterial SSU rRNA". It matches the Rfam family "Bacterial small subunit ribosomal RNA", at positions 338 to 795 of the family's 1533-position model. Lineage: Bacteria; Pseudomonadati; Pseudomonadota; Gammaproteobacteria; Enterobacterales; Enterobacteriaceae. The record is from RNAcentral.
CCUACGGGCGGCUGCAGUGGGGAAUAUUGCACAAUGGGCGCAAGCCUGAUGCAGCCAUGCCGCGUGUGUGAAGAAGGCCUUCGGGUUGUAAAGCACUUUCAGCGGGGAGGAAGGCGGUGAGGUUAAUAACCUCAUCGAUUGACGUUACCCGCAGAAGGAGCACCGGCUAACUCCGUGCCAGCAGCCGCGGUAAUACGGAGGGUGCAAGCGUUAAUCGGAAUUACUGGGCGUAAAGCGCACGCAGGCGGUCUGUCAAGUCGGAUGUGAAAUCCCCGGGCUCAACCUGGGAACUGCAUUCGAAACUGGCAGGCUAGAGUCUUGUAGAGGGGGGUAGAAUUCCAGGUGUAGCGGUGAAAUGCGUAGAGAUCUGGAGGAAUACCGGUGGCGAAGGCGGCCCCCUGGACAAAGACUGACGCUCAGGUGCGAAAGCGUGGGGAGCAAACAGGAUUAGAUACCCCAGUAGUC